This 562-nucleotide ribosomal RNA is filed under the name Neofusicoccum parvum. Its description in RNAcentral is "eukaryotic LSU rRNA". It matches the Rfam family "Eukaryotic large subunit ribosomal RNA", at positions 90 to 667 of the family's 3401-position model. The record is from RNAcentral. Lineage: Eukaryota; Fungi; Ascomycota; Dothideomycetes; Botryosphaeriales; Botryosphaeriaceae.
CGAGUGAAGCGGCAAUAGCUCAAAUUUGAAAGCUGGCCCCUUCGGGGUCCGCGUUGUAAUUUGUAGAGGAUGAUUCGGCGAGGGCUCCCGUCUAAGUCCCUUGGAACAGGGCGUCAUAGAGGGUGAGAAUCCCGUAUGUGAUGGGCUGCCUUAGCCAUGUGAAUCUCCUUCGACGAGUCGAGUUGUUUGGGAAUGCAGCUCUAAAUGGGAGGUAAAUUUCUUCUAAAGCUAAAUACCGGCCAGAGACCGAUAGCGCACAAGUAGAGUGAUCGAAAGAUGAAAAGCACUUUGGAAAGAGAGUUAAAAAGUACGUGAAAUUGUUGAAAGGGAAGCGCUUGCAGCCAGACUUGUCCGCAGUUGCUCAGCUUGUCUCCUGACAGGCGUACUCUUCUGCGGCCAGGCCAGCAUCAGUUCGGGCGGUCGGAUAAAGACCUAGGGAAUGUAGCUCCUCUCGGGGAGUGUUAUAGCCCUGGGUGCAAUGCGGCCAGCCUGGACUGAGGAUCUCGCUUCGGCUAGGAUGCUGGCGUAAUGGCUGUAAGCGGCCCGUCUUGAAACACGGACC